RNAcentral lists this ribosomal RNA (402 nucleotides) under bacterium. RNAcentral's name for it is "partial 16S ribosomal RNA". It matches the Rfam family "Bacterial small subunit ribosomal RNA", at positions 355 to 776 of the family's 1533-position model. The record is from RNAcentral.
UGGGGAAUUUUGCACAAUGGGGGAAACCCUGAUGCAGCGACGCCGCGUGAUUUAGAAGGCCUUCGGGUUGUAAAAAUCUUUUUUAGGGGUGGAAAAUACCAGUACGGUAAGAAUAAGUUCGGGCUAAUAAGGUGCCAGCAGCGGCGGAAUACGUUAUGAACGGAGCUUUGUCCGGAAUCAUUGGGCGUAAAGGGUACGUAGGCGGCCUAGUAAGUUAGAAGUGAAAUAAUAUAGCUCAACUAUAUAAAGCUUUUAAAACUGCUAGGCUUGAGAGAUGGAAGGGAAAGUGGAAUUCCUAGUGUAGCGGUGAAAUGCGCAGAUAUUAGGAAGAAUACCGGUGGCGAAGGCGACUUUCUGGUCAUCAUCUGACGCUGAGGUACGAAAGCGUGGGUAGCAAACAGG